Antechinus flavipes (yellow-footed antechinus) is the source of this 2109-nucleotide long non-coding RNA. RefSeq lists it as uncharacterized. The transcript is spliced from 6 exons. NCBI's taxonomy places the organism in Eukaryota, Metazoa, Chordata, Mammalia, Dasyuromorphia, Dasyuridae. The record is from RefSeq and is a predicted model, not a curated record.
GCUAACACCGGAGGGAAGGACAAGAUCUAAAAGAAUACUGAAAAGCUGGGGCACUGAGAUGAAUUUAAUAAGAAGACAUUCCAUAGGCAGAGAUGUAAUCCUGUAAUUUGGACCCAUGAAUGUUGCUCUUGUGUGUCAGGUCUCCAAAUUUGUAAUAGAUUUUGUCCUUUGGUCCCCAUUUUGGUGUGAGGGUAUAAGAUGGACAUACUCCAUAACAAACAAAAAUCCAGACUCUUCCAUUCAGGAUUGAAUCUUCCCUUCUCAUAAUGAAAAACAAGUAUGAACAUUACAUAUAGCAAUCAUAUUUGAUAAUAUGUACAAUAUCUUCCCAAGCAGUCCCAUGCUUCUCUGCUAUCAGCAAUAGGACAAGGCAGAGGACAAAGAAAAAGGAGAAUCCAUUACACCUCUAGGAGGAAAUCCAGUAAUAUAGGACAAAAGGAUAUUUGCAUACUUGGGGCAUCUUAAAGAACUCGUCAUCCAAAGAGAAUGACUCCCUCCUUUGAACAAAACAUUUUUCAUGUCAAUGGCAAAUAUUUUUGAUUUUGUAACCUAUAUUUUGGCUGCAGAGAAGCUUCCUUGCCCUUUUCUCCACCAAGAGAACUGAGGAAGAGAUUCUUUUUGAUUAUAGACCAGGAAGUUCAAGGAGUUAUGUCAUGGGCCCCUUUGAUAGUGUGGUAAAGUAUGUAAAUUCUUUCUCUGAAUGGUGUUCUUAAAGGCAUAAAAUACACAGGAUUAGAAAGAAAAUUAGCUAUGUGAAAGUACAAUUAUUAAAAAAAAAUGUUUAAAUUCAUGGACACAUGGGGCACUGGCCCUCAAGUCAGGAGAAUCUGAGUUCAAAUCCAGCCUCAGACACUUGACACUUACUAGCGGUAUGAUUCUGACCAAAUCACUUAAGCACAACUGCCUAGCCAAAGAAAAAGAAUAAGGAGGAAGAAAGGAAGAAGGGAAGGAAGGAGGGAAAGGAGGAGAGAGAGAAGGAAGGAAGGAAGGAAGGAAGGAAGGAAGGAAGGAAGGAAGGAAGGAAGGAAGGAAGGAAGGAAGGGGAGAGGGAGGGAGAAAAGGAGGGAAGGAAGCAGGGAGGGAAAAAGGGAGGAAGGGGAGGGAGGGAGGGAGGGAGAAAGGGAGGAAGGGAAAAGGAGGGAAGGAAGAAGGGAGGGAGGAAAGGAAGGAGAAAGGAAGGAGGGAGGGAAGGAGGGAGAAAGGGAGGGAAGAAGGGAGAAAGGGAAGGAAGGAAGGAAGGAAGGAGAAAGGAAGGAGGGAGAAAAAGGGGGAGCAUGGGGUGGGGGAAGAGAAAGGAAGAAGAAGAAAGGGAAGAUAGGGAGGAGGAAGGAGGAAAAAGAGGAGAAGAAAAGAGGGAGAGGAGGAAGGAAGAGAGGAAGUUGUUUAUGGAUUCCAGAUUAAGAAUACUUGCUCUAAACUAUAGAGGUUAUUACGAUAUAGAAAAUCAAACAAUGUUAAAACAAAGUUAUUCCUCUACAACAGUAAAAAGGUUAGAAAAGGUCUAAUGUUUAAUAACCACCUAGGAUUCAAAAGUUAUAAAUAAAAAAUUAUAAAAUCUGUUUGUUCUUCAAAAUAUAACUAAAUAUAAAAAUUUAAUAUAACAGUCAAGAAUUACUAAUAGAACAAUUUUUUUUUCCCAAUUAAGAUGAGAAAAAGUCAAAUCUAGUUAGAUAAGCAAGAGAAUAUAGUGGAGCUCCUAAAUAAAGUAAAAUGGGAAAUUAAGACAAGAAAAAUAAAAUACCUGCAAAUUUGUCAUGAAAAAAAAAAAUCACAAAAAGAACAAGACAACCAAUUACACUACAACUUUUCUAAAAACUCACUCAAUGUUAUUUUCUACUGCAGUAAAUUCAGUAAUAGGAGACAACUUUGGGCCUCUCUGUCAGAAAAGUAAAAGAUCCUAACAUUAUCUAAAUAAAUCAAUAUUUAUUCAAAAAGUACUUAUUCAAAAGUACUUAUUACAAAUAUUUGUUUCCCACUACAAAGUACUCUCACAGAAUCAACUUCAAAUUAAAGUUAGCAAUAUGAAACUCCAAUCUACUAACAAUACCUAUAAUUUACAGAUGGACUAAAUUAGGCAAAGAAGAAAAAAUAAACUCAAGAUAAGACAAA